This 497-nucleotide ribosomal RNA is filed under the name uncultured bacterium. Its description in RNAcentral is "partial 16S ribosomal RNA". It matches the Rfam family "Bacterial small subunit ribosomal RNA", at positions 28 to 507 of the family's 1533-position model. The record is from RNAcentral.
GAUGAACGCUGGCGGCGUGCCUAAUACAUGCAAGUCGAGCGCAUAGGCGAGGAGCUUGCCCCCCUUCAAUUAGCUGCGGACGGGUGAGUAACGCGUGGGAAAACUUCCUUUAAGGCUGGGAUAAACUUUGGAAACCAGUUCUAAUACCGGAUAAUAACUUUAACCCCAAGGUUCAAAAGUGAAAGAGGGCUUUGCAGUCACCUAUAGAUGGAUCCGCGCUUCAUUAGUUAGUUGGUAAGGUAACGGCCUACCAAGACAAGGAUGAUUAGCCGACUUGAGAGGGUGAUCGGCCACAUUGGAACUGAGACACGGCCCAGACUCCUAGGGGAGGAAGCAGUAGGGAAUCUUCCGCAAUGGGCGAAAGCCUGACGGAGCAACGCCGCGUGAGUGAUGAAGGUUUUCGGGUCGUAAACCACUGUUGUAGGGGAAGAACAGGUGGAAAAGGAAAUGAUCAUAGUUUGACGGUACCUAACCAGAAAGGGACGGCUAACUACGUG